UCUCCGUUGGGGAACCAGCGGAGGGAUCAUUACAGAGUGUUUAACUUCCAAACCCAUGUGAACUUACCAUUGUUGCCUCGGCGGAGCCUACCCUGUAGCUACCCUGUAGGGUGGUUACCCUGUAGCGCCCCGCCGGUGGAUUUUCAAACUCUUGUUAUUUUUAGUAAUCUGAGCGUCUUAUUUUAAAUAAGUCAAAACUUUCAACAACGGAUCUCUUGGCUCUCGCACCGAUGAAGAACGCAGC
RNAcentral lists this unclassified non-coding RNA (244 nucleotides) under uncultured fungus. Its description in RNAcentral is "sequence contains ITS1, 5.8S rRNA gene". The stretch from base 196 to 244 matches the Rfam family "5.8S ribosomal RNA", at positions 1 to 49 of the family's 154-position model. The record is from RNAcentral. Lineage: Eukaryota; Fungi.